GAGUGCCAUUUUGCAAAGAGACUGGAGAAAACACUCAUUCACUUCACAAAUUGUUGACAGGCAUGUAAUAUUCUAGUUUCAGAGACAUAUUAUAAAAUUAGGAAGGAAAAAAUUUUCAGUUAAAAACCUCAAAGAGAAGUGACUGGCUUUUCAGUAAUCGGGAGUGGGGGAGUUCCAGUCACAAGGAUCAGCUGGUGCAAUGGCAGUAAGAAGCUAGAAGGAAGGUUUGUAUGGCUGGAGCAGACAGGAUAUGAGGCAGAUCAUGUAAAACUUGCUACUCUGCAAAGCUUCAAGGUGGAAGCAGAGAGAUCAGUUCAGUGAAAACACUAGUCUGACAGCCUAGAUUGGAGUGACAGCACACAAAUGAUCAGGAAAUACUGUUAGCCUCGGUGGUACAAUGUCUCUUUCUGUCACAC
Perognathus longimembris pacificus (Pacific pocket mouse) is the source of this 416-nucleotide long non-coding RNA. RefSeq lists it as uncharacterized. The record is from RefSeq and is a predicted model, not a curated record. NCBI's taxonomy places the organism in Eukaryota, Metazoa, Chordata, Mammalia, Rodentia, Heteromyidae. The transcript is spliced from 3 exons.